AGAGUUUGAUCCUGGCUCAGAUUGAACGCUGGCGGCAGGCCUAACACAUGCAAGUCGAGCGGUAGAGAGAAGCUUGCUUCUCUUGAGAGCGGCGGACGGGUGAGUAAUGCCUAGGAAUCUGCCUGGUAGUGGGGGAUAACGCUCGGAAACGGACGCUAAUACCGCAUACGUCCUACGGGAGAAAGCAGGGGACCUUCGGGCCUUGCGCUAUCAGAUGAGCCUAGGUCGGAUUAGCUAGUUGGUGAGGUAAUGGCUCACCAAGGCGACGAUCCGUAACUGGUCUGAGAGGAUGAUCAGUCACACUGGAACUGAGACACGGUCCAGACUCCUACGGGAGGCAGCAGUGGGGAAUAUUGGACAAUGGGCGAAAGCCUGAUCCAGCCAUGCCGCGUGUGUGAAGAAGGUCUUCGGAUUGUAAAGCACUUUAAGUUGGGAGGAAGGGCAUUAACCUAAUACGUUAGUGUUUUGACGUUACCGA
RNAcentral lists this ribosomal RNA (478 nucleotides) under uncultured bacterium. RNAcentral's name for it is "bacterial SSU rRNA". It matches the Rfam family "Bacterial small subunit ribosomal RNA", at positions 8 to 481 of the family's 1533-position model. The record is from RNAcentral.